Molecule: ribosomal RNA, 735 nt
Filed under: uncultured Pseudomonas sp.
Lineage: Bacteria; Pseudomonadati; Pseudomonadota; Gammaproteobacteria; Pseudomonadales; Pseudomonadaceae
Description: bacterial SSU rRNA
Rfam family: Bacterial small subunit ribosomal RNA
Source: RNAcentral
UGGCUCAGAUUGAACGCUGGCGGCAGGCCUAACACAUGCAAGUCGAGCGGAUGACGGGAGCUUGCUCCUUGAUUCAGCGGCGGACGGGUGAGUAAUGCCUAGGAAUCUGCCUGGUAGUGGGGGACAACGUUUCGAAAGGAACGCUAAUACCGCAUACGUCCUACGGGAGAAAGCAGGGGACCUUCGGGCCUUGCGCUAUCAGAUGAGCCUAGGUCGGAUUAGCUAGUUGGUGGGGUAAUGGCUCACCAAGGCGACGAUCCGUAACUGGUCUGAGAGGAUGAUCAGUCACACUGGAACUGAGACACGGUCCAGACUCCUACGGGAGGCAGCAGUGGGGAAUAUUGGACAAUGGGCGAAAGCCUGAUCCAGCCAUGCCGCGUGUGUGAAGAAGGUCUUCGGAUUGUAAAGCACUUUAAGUUGGGAGGAAGGGCAGUAAGUUAAUACCUUGCUGUUUUGACGUUACCGACAGAAUAAGCACCGGCUAACUCUGUGCCAGCAGCCGCGGUAAUACAGAGGGUGCAAGCGUUAAUCGGAAUUACUGGGCGUAAAGCGCGCGUAGGUGGUUUGUUAAGUUGGAUGUGAAAGCCCCGGGCUCAACCUGGGAACUGCAUCCAAAACUGGCAAGCUAGAGUACGGUAGAGGGUGGUGGAAUUUCCUGUGUAGCGGUGAAAUGCGUAGAUAUAGGAAGGAACACCAGUGGCGAAGGCGACCACCUGGACUGAUACUGACACUGAG